AAAGUUUUAGUAUAAUUUUAGUAUUUCUUAUUGUCAAUAAGUAGGUUAAAACUUUAU
RNAcentral lists this transfer RNA (57 nucleotides) under Parazoniolaimus collaris. Its description in RNAcentral is "tRNA-Asp". Lineage: Eukaryota; Metazoa; Nematoda; Chromadorea; Rhabditida; Strongylidae. The record is from RNAcentral.